This 945-nucleotide ribosomal RNA is filed under the name Xanthoria parietina. RNAcentral describes it as "partial large subunit ribosomal RNA". It matches the Rfam family "Eukaryotic large subunit ribosomal RNA", at positions 1 to 962 of the family's 3401-position model. The record is from RNAcentral. Lineage: Eukaryota; Fungi; Ascomycota; Lecanoromycetes; Teloschistales; Teloschistaceae.
GACCUCGGAUCAGGUAGGGAUACCCGCUGAACUUAAGCAUAUCAAUAAGCGGAGGAAAAGAAACCAACAGGGAUUGCCUCAGUAACGGCGAGUGAAGCGGCAACAGCUCAAAUUUGAAAUCUGGCCUUAAGCGGGGUCCGAAUUGUAAUUUGCAGAGGGCGUUUCGGGCGACGCGCCGGUCUAAGUCCCUUGGAACGGGGCGUCAUAGAGGGUGAGAAUCCCGUAUGUGACCGGCGACCGAGCCUGUGUGAAACCCCUUCGACGAGUCGAGUUGUUUGGGAAUGCAGCUCAAAGCGGGUGGUAAAUUUCAUCUAAAGCUAAAUACCGGCCAGAGACCGAUAGCGCACAAGUAGAGUGAUCGAAAGAUGAAAAGCACUUUGGAAAGAGAGUCAAAAAGUACGUGAAAUUGUUGAAAGGGAAGCGCUUGCAACCAGACCUGCCCGCGGGUGAUCAGCCGUCCUUCGGGGCGGUGCACUCACCCGCGAUCAGGCCAGCAUCGGUUCGGGCGGCCGGAUAAAGGCCUUGGGAACGUGGCUCCCCUCGGGGAGCGUUAUAGCCCAGGGUGCAAUGCGGCCCGCCCGGACCGAGGACCGCGCUUCGGCUAGGAUGCUGGCGUAAUGGUUGUAAGCGGCCCGUCUUGAAACACGGACCAAGGAGUCGACCAACCGUGCGAGUGUUUGGGCGUCAAACCCACACGCGCAAUGAAAGUGAACGGAGGUGGGAACCCCUCGCGGGGCGCACCAUCGACCGAUCCAGAUGUCUUCGGAUGGAUUUGAGUACGAGCAUGGCUGGUCGGACCCGAAAGAUGGUGAACUAUGCCUGGAUAGGGUGAAGCCAGAGGAAACUCUGGUGGAGGCUCGCAGCGGUUCUGACGUGCAAAUCGAUCGUCAAAUUUGGGCAUAGGGGCGAAAGACUAAUCGAACCAUCUAGUAGCUGGUUCCAGCC